AAGGAAUUAGUUAAAUAUAAUAACAUUUGCUUGUCAUGCAAAAGUCAUCUUUAAGAUACUCCUUA
Molecule: transfer RNA, 65 nt
Filed under: Eriocheir hepuensis
Lineage: Eukaryota; Metazoa; Arthropoda; Malacostraca; Decapoda; Varunidae
Description: tRNA-Asp
Rfam family: tRNA
About the family: Transfer RNA (tRNA) molecules are approximately 80 nucleotides in length.
Source: RNAcentral